RNAcentral lists this ribosomal RNA (442 nucleotides) under Agraphydrus sp. 5 MTM-2009. Its description in RNAcentral is "eukaryotic LSU rRNA". It matches the Rfam family "Eukaryotic large subunit ribosomal RNA", at positions 754 to 1179 of the family's 3401-position model. Lineage: Eukaryota; Metazoa; Arthropoda; Insecta; Coleoptera; Hydrophilidae. The record is from RNAcentral.
CGCACUCCCGGGGCGUCUCGUUCUCAUCGCGAGAAGAGGCGCACCCAGAGCGUACACGCUGGGACCCGAAAGAUGGUGAACUAUGCCUGGUCAGGACGAAGUCAGGGGAAACCCUGAUGGAGGUCCGUAGCGAUUCUGACGUGCAAAUCGAUCGUCGGAACUGGGUAUAGGGGCGAAAGACUAAUCGAACCAUCUAGUAGCUGGUUCCCUCCGAAGUUUCCCUCAGGAUAGCUGGCGCUCGCUUUGCGAGUCUCAUCCGGUAAAGCGAAUGAUUAGAGGCAUUGGGGUCGAAACGGCCUCAACCUAUUCUCAAACUUUAAAUGGGUGAGAUCUCCGGCUUGCUCGAACUUGAAGCCGCGAGAUAUUUACACAAGGAUCAGAGUGCCAAGUGGGCCAUUUUUGGUAAGCAGAACUGGCGCUGUGGGAUGAACCAAACGCAGAG